RNAcentral lists this ribosomal RNA (426 nucleotides) under uncultured bacterium. RNAcentral describes it as "partial 16S ribosomal RNA". It matches the Rfam family "Bacterial small subunit ribosomal RNA", at positions 354 to 796 of the family's 1533-position model. The record is from RNAcentral.
GUGGGGAAUCUUGCGCAAUGGGCGAAAGCCUGACGCAGCAACGCCGCGUGGGGGAUGAAGGCUCUCGGGUUGUAAACCCCUUUCAGCAGGGACGAAUCAAGACGGUACCUGCAGAAGAAGCCCCGGCUAACUACGUGCCAGCAGCCGCGGUAACACGUAGGGGGCAAGCGUUGUCCGGAUUUAUUGGGCGUAAAGAGCUCGUAGGUGGCUGAGUAAGUCGGAUGUCAAAUCCCCAGGCUCAACCUGGGAUCCCAUCCGAUACUGCUCUGGCUAGAGUCCGGUAGGGGAGCGUGGAAUUCCUGGUGUAGCGGUGAAAUGCGCAGAUAUCAGGUGGAACACCAGCGGCGAAGGCGGCGCUCUGGGCCGGUACUGACACUGAGGAGCGAAAGCGUGGGUAGCAAACAGGAUUAGAAACCCGUGUAGUCC